Molecule: ribosomal RNA, 510 nt
Filed under: uncultured Bacteroidota bacterium
Lineage: Bacteria; Pseudomonadati; Bacteroidota
Description: bacterial SSU rRNA
Rfam family: Bacterial small subunit ribosomal RNA
Source: RNAcentral
UAGUUUGAUGGCGACCGGCAAACGGGUGCGGAACACGUACACAACCUUCCUUUAAGUGGGGAACAGCCCAGAGAAAUUUGGAUUAAUACCCCGUAACACAACGAAGUGGCAUCACUUUGUUGUUAUAGUUUCGGCGCUUAAUGAUGGGUGUGCGUAUGAUUAGAUAGUUGGCGAGGUAACGGCUCACCAAGUCUACGAUCAUUAGCUGAUGUGAGAGCAUGAUCAGCCACACGGGCACUGAGACACGGGCCCGACUCCUACAGGAGGCAGCAGUAAGGAAUAUUGGUCAAUGGACGCAAGUCUGAACCAGCCAUGCCGCGUGAAGGAUUAAGGUCCUCUGGAUUGUAAACUUCUUUUAUAUGGGACGAAAAAAGGUCUUUCUAGACCCCUUGACGGUACCAUAUGAAUAAGCACCGGCUAACUCCGUGCCAGCAGCCGCGGUAAUACGGAGGGUGCAAGCGUUAUCCGGAUUCACUGGGUUUAAAGGGUGCGUAGGCGGGUAGGUAAGUC